RNAcentral lists this transfer RNA (74 nucleotides) under Nonomuraea thailandensis. Its description in RNAcentral is "tRNA-Leu". It matches the Rfam family "tRNA". From Rfam's summary of the family: Transfer RNA (tRNA) molecules are approximately 80 nucleotides in length. Their secondary structure includes four short double-helical elements and three loops (D, anti-codon, and T loops). Further hydrogen bonds mediate the characteristic L-shaped molecular structure. tRNAs have two regions of fundamental functional importance: the anti-codon, which is responsible for specific mRNA codon recognition, and the 3' end, to which the tRNAs corresponding amino acid is attached (by aminoacyl-tRNA synthetases). tRNAs cope with the degeneracy of the genetic code in two manners: having more than one tRNA (with a specific anti-codon) for a particular amino acid; and 'wobble' base-pairing, i.e. permitting non-standard base-pairing at the 3rd anti-codon position. The record is from RNAcentral. RNAcentral also lists the same sequence under 1 other name. Lineage: Bacteria; Bacillati; Actinomycetota; Actinomycetes; Streptosporangiales; Streptosporangiaceae.
UUCGCCGUAGCUCAGCGGUAGAGCGCCCGGCUCAGCAUUCCGGGUGGACGCCGGUUCGAGCCCGGCCGGCGAAG